Molecule: ribosomal RNA, 253 nt
Filed under: uncultured bacterium
Lineage: Bacteria
Description: partial 16S ribosomal RNA
Rfam family: Bacterial small subunit ribosomal RNA
Source: RNAcentral
UACGGAGGGGGCAAGCGUUGUCCGGACUUACUGGGCGUAAAGGGUGCGUAGGCGGCCUGCUGCGUCGGUGCUGAAAGCGCCUGGCUUAACCGGGCGAGGUCGGUGGAAACUGGCGGGCUGGAGGACGGUAGAGGGGGGUGGAAUUCCCGGUGUAGUGGUGAAAUGCGUAGAGAUCGGGAGGAACACCAGUGGCGAAGGCGGCCCCCUGGGCCGUUCCUGACGCUGAGACGCGAAGGCGCGGGGAGCGAACGGG